GAUGAAGCUUCUAGCUUGCUAGGUGGAUUAGUGGCGCACGGGUGAGUAACGCAUAGAUAACAUGCCCUUUAGUUUGGGAUAGCCACUAGAAAUGGUGAUUAAUACCAAAUACUACCCUACGGGGGAAAGAUUUAUCGCUAAAGGAUUGGUCUAUGUCCUAUCAGCUUGUUGGUGAGGUAAAGGCUCACCAAGGCGAUGACGGGUAUCCGGCCUGAGAGGGUGAACGGACACACUGGAACUGAGACACGGUCCAGACUCCUACGGGAGGCAGCAGUAGGGAAUAUUGCUCAAUGGGCGCAAGCCUGAAGCAGCAACGCCGCGUGGAGGAUGAAGGUUUUAGGAUUGUAAACUCCUUUUGUCAGAGAAGAU
RNAcentral lists this ribosomal RNA (369 nucleotides) under uncultured Helicobacter sp. RNAcentral describes it as "bacterial SSU rRNA". It matches the Rfam family "Bacterial small subunit ribosomal RNA", at positions 65 to 449 of the family's 1533-position model. The record is from RNAcentral. Lineage: Bacteria; Pseudomonadati; Campylobacterota; Epsilonproteobacteria; Campylobacterales; Helicobacteraceae.